This 55-nucleotide transfer RNA is filed under the name Crassicauda magna. Its description in RNAcentral is "tRNA-Cys". RNAcentral also lists the same sequence under 1 other name. Lineage: Eukaryota; Metazoa; Nematoda; Chromadorea; Rhabditida; Tetrameridae. The record is from RNAcentral.
GAACAUUUAUUAUAAAUAAGUAAUUUUAAUUGCAAAUUAAAAAGUUUUUUGUUCU